RNAcentral lists this ribosomal RNA (251 nucleotides) under uncultured prokaryote. Its description in RNAcentral is "partial 16S rRNA". It matches the Rfam family "Bacterial small subunit ribosomal RNA", at positions 525 to 775 of the family's 1533-position model. The record is from RNAcentral.
ACGUAGGGUGCAAGCGUUGUCCGGAUUUACUGGGUGUAAAGGGUGCUCAGGCGGAUUUGUAAGUCAGAGGUGAAACUCCGGAGCUUAACUCCGGACCUGCCUUUGAUACUGCAAUUCUCGAGUUUGAGAGAGGCGAGUGGAAUAUCUGGUGUAGCAGUGAAAUGCGUAGAUAUCAGAUAGAACACCAAUGGCGAAGGCAGCUCGCUGGACCAAUACUGACGCUGAAGCACGAAAGUGUGGGUAGCAAACAG